RNAcentral lists this ribosomal RNA (522 nucleotides) under embryophyte environmental sample. RNAcentral's name for it is "eukaryotic LSU rRNA". The stretch from base 89 to 244 matches the Rfam family "5.8S ribosomal RNA". The record is from RNAcentral. Lineage: Eukaryota; Viridiplantae; Streptophyta.
AGGAUCAUUGUCGAACCUGCAUUAUGCAAAAAGACUCCUGCCUCGGUGCAUUGCAUCGUGUCGGCGAGUGUAUUCGAUAAGUCAUAACGACUCUCGGCAACGGAUAUCUCGGCUCUCGCAUCGAUGAAGAACGUAGCAAAAUGCGAUACGUGGUGUGAAUUGCAGGAUCCCGUGAACCAUCGAGUUUUUGAACGCAAGUUGCGCCCGAAGCCUUUAGGCCGAGGGCACGUCUGCCUGGGCGUCACGCACCGUUGCCCCCCAAACCCCCUCAGUCCUCCACGGAGGAUUGGCGAGGCGCGUGGGGGGCGUAAAGUGGCUUCCCGUCGGCUUUGUCCCGCGGUUGGCCUAAAAAUGAAUCCCUAGCCGCGGUGCGCGCGGCAUUCGGUGGUCAUCGAUCCCUUUCGUUACCCCGCCGCGCGCUCACGUGCCGCGAAGGAUGUCACACUAGUAAACCCGACGCCUCGCUUUGUGAAGAGCGGAGCUUACAACGCGACCCCAGGUCAGGCGGGGCUACCCGCUGAA